AUGCAAAUCACAUGGUGUUCUUACUAAAAUGCAAAUUUUGAUUCAGUCUGUCUUGAGUAUGUCUAAGAUUAUGCAUUUUUAACAAGCUCCUUGGUGAUGCUAAU
This 104-nucleotide microRNA precursor is filed under the name Marmota monax (woodchuck). The record is from RNAcentral. Lineage: Eukaryota; Metazoa; Chordata; Mammalia; Rodentia; Sciuridae.